Molecule: non-coding RNA, 373 nt
Organism: Megalobrama amblycephala (Wuchang bream)
Lineage: Eukaryota; Metazoa; Chordata; Actinopteri; Cypriniformes; Xenocyprididae
Source: the annotation of a RefSeq genome assembly
CAUCUUCAUCUGGACUCUCACAGCGUUUGCUCAAGAGUGUAGAGGACAGAUCACCGUCACUCAGAGUCCCUCAAUGACAGCAGCUCAACCAGGACAAACUGUGAACAUCAACUGUAAAACCAGCAGAGAUGUGUACAGUCUUUUGGGGAUAUACUGUUUAGCCUGGUACUUACAGAAACCUGGAGAAGCUCCUAAACUCCUGAUUUAUUAUACAAACACCCUCCAGUCAGGAACUCCAUCUAGAUUCAGUGGCAGUGGAUCUAACAGUGAUUUCACUCUGACCAUCAGUGGAGUCCAGACUGAAGAUGCUGGACAUUAUUACUGUCAGAGUUUCCAUGAAAUCAACAGUAAAUAUGUGUUCACACAGUGAUAA